UACGGAGGGUGCAAGCGUUAUCCGGAGUUACUGGGCGUAAAGGGCGUGUAGGCGGUAUGUUAAGUCUGGCGUGAAAGCUCUCGGCUAAACCGGGAGAGGUCGUUGGAUACUGGCAAACUAGAGGAUGGUAGAGGCGUGUGGAAUUCCGGGUGUAGUGGUGAAAUGCGUAGAGAUCCGGAGGAACACCAGUGGCGAAGGCGACACGCUGGGCCAUACCUGACGCUAAAGCGCGACAGCAUGGGGAGCAAACGGG
Molecule: ribosomal RNA, 253 nt
Filed under: uncultured bacterium
Lineage: Bacteria
Description: partial 16S ribosomal RNA
Rfam family: Bacterial small subunit ribosomal RNA
Source: RNAcentral